AUACUGCCAGACUUGGAACCGGGAGAGGUAAGAGGUACUACAGGGGUAGGAGUGAAAUCUUGUAAUCCCUGUGGGACCACCUGUGGCGAAGGCGUCUUACCAGAACGGGUUCGACGGUGAGGGACGAAAGCUGGGGGCACGAACCGGAUUAGAUACCCGGGUAGUCCCAGCCGUAAACGAUGCUCGCUAGGUGUCCAGGCAUGGCGCGACCGUGUCUGGUGCCGCAGGGAAGCCGUGAAGCGAGCCACCUGGGAAGUACGGCCGCAAGGCUGAAACUUAAAGGAAUUGGCGGGGGAGCACAACAACGGGUGGAGCCCUGCGGUUUAAUUGGACUCAACGCCGGACAACUCACCGGGGGACGACAAGCAAUAUGUAGGCCAAGCUGAAGACUUUGCCUGAAUCGCUGAGGAGUGGUGCAUGG
Molecule: ribosomal RNA, 421 nt
Filed under: uncultured archaeon
Lineage: Archaea
Description: bacterial SSU rRNA
Rfam family: Archaeal small subunit ribosomal RNA
Source: RNAcentral